Long non-coding RNA from Pristis pectinata (smalltooth sawfish), 575 nucleotides. RefSeq lists it as uncharacterized. The transcript is spliced from 6 exons. The record is from RefSeq and is a predicted model, not a curated record. Lineage: Eukaryota; Metazoa; Chordata; Chondrichthyes; Rhinopristiformes; Pristidae.
UUGCAAGUCAGGUUUCUAGAACUGAGACUGAGUACAUGAAAACUGGAAGUUAAUCACAAAACAAACACACUGAACCAUUAGCCUCAAUGCUGUCUGACUUGCUGCGUGUUUCCAGCAUUCUCUGUUUUCAUUCAAGUAGGUGGAUUGCAAUGAGUCACUUCUAAUGGUGAACCCAUCCACCUGCUGAUCAGUGGAGCUCACACAGCAUGUAUCAAGGUUCCAUGUUCAACAUGCUUACUCAAAUCCAUUCAAGACCUGUAACAAGUUUAGAGAAGGGACUUCAUUAUUGCAACAGCCGUUAAAUCUCCAUGGACUCCUAGAUCUUCGUCUGGGUCAGAUGUGCAUGUGAAAGACCAUGUCAUCUGAUGAAGAGUUUCCUCCACCUGCUCUAUCCCUCAGGCAAUGGUCACUAUACUGUUCACAGCUUCUCGUCUAUUUUAAAACAAGGAUCGUCUGAAAUAAUGAGAACGAAGAAUAAUCCAGCGUUCCGCAACAAAACACAUCAUUGGUAAUUCGUAGUUCGGUUGCCCUGCGUCAAUCUUGACAAGAAUGAAUCUGAUCCAGGGUCAGGCAUA